GACGAACGCUGGCGGCGUGCUUAACACAUGCAAGUCGAACGGUGAAGGUGGAGCUUACUCCGCCGGAUCAGUGGCGAACGGGUGAGUAACACGUGGGCAACCUGCCCCUGACUUCGGGAUAACUCCUCGAAAGAGGUGCUAAUACCGGAUACGAAUCCUGCAGGCAUCUGCGGGAUUGGAAAGUUUUUCGGUCAGGGAUGGGCCCGCGGCCUAUCAGCUUGUUGGUGAGGUAGUGGCUCACCAAGGCGACGACGGGUAGCCGGCCUGAGAGGGGGACCGGCCACACUGGGACUGAGACACGGCCCAGACUCCUACGGGAGGCAGCGGUGGGGAAUAUUGCGCAAUGGGCGAAAGCCUGACGCAGCAACGCCGCGUGAGGGAUGACGGCCUUCGGGUUGUAAACCUCUUUCAGCAGGGAAGAAGCGAAAGUGACGGUACCUGCAGAAGAAGCACCGGCUAACUACGUGCCAGCAGCCGCCGCGG
This 483-nucleotide ribosomal RNA is filed under the name uncultured bacterium. RNAcentral's name for it is "partial 16S ribosomal RNA". It matches the Rfam family "Bacterial small subunit ribosomal RNA", at positions 28 to 523 of the family's 1533-position model. The record is from RNAcentral.